GUAGGUGGCAAGCGUUGUCCGGAAUUAUUGGGCGUAAAGCGCGCGCAGGGCGGUCCUUUAAGUCUGAUGUGAAAGCCCACGGCUCAACCGUGGAGGGUCAUUGGAAACUGGGGGACUUGAGUACAGAAGAGGAAAGCGGAACUCCAAGUGUAGCGGUGAAAUGCGUAGAGAUUUGGAGGAACACCAGUGGCGAAGGCGGCUUUCUGGUCUGUAACUGACGCUGAGGCGCGAAAGCGUGGGGAGCAAACAGGAUUAGAUACCCUGGUGGUCCACGCCGUAAACGAUGAGUGCUAAGUGUUAGGGGGUUUCCGCCCCUUAGUGCUGCAGCUAACGCAUUAAGCACUCCGCCUGGGGAGUACGGCCGCAAGGCUG
RNAcentral lists this ribosomal RNA (372 nucleotides) under uncultured organism. RNAcentral describes it as "partial 16S ribosomal RNA". It matches the Rfam family "Bacterial small subunit ribosomal RNA", at positions 527 to 896 of the family's 1533-position model. The record is from RNAcentral.